GUUGACCUCGGAUCAGGUAGGAAUACCCGCUGAACUUAAGCAUAUCAAUAAGCGGAGGAAAAGAAACCAACAGGGAUUGCCUUAGUAACGGCGAGUGAAGCGGCAACAGCUCAAAUUUGAAAUCUGGCCCCCCCCGGGGUCCGAGUUGUAAUUUGCAGAGGAUGUCUUCUGGCGCGGUGCCUUCCGAGUUCCCUGGAACGGGACGCCACAGAGGGUGAGAGCCCCGUAAUGGUCGGAUACCAAGCCUGUGUGAAGCUCCUUCGACGAGUCGAGUAGUUUGGGAAUGCUGCUCUAAAUGGGAGGUAAAUCUCUUCUAAAGCUAAAUACUGGCCAGAGACCGAUAGCGCACAAGUAGAGUGAUCGAAAGAUGAAAAGCACCUUGAAAAGGGGGUUAAACAGUACGUGAAAUUGUUGAAAGGGAAGCGCUCAUGACCAGACUUGCGCCGGGCGGCUCAGCAGGUGGUUCCGCCCCUGUGUACUCCGUCCCGGUUCAGGCCAGCAUCGGUUCUCGCCGGGGGAUAAGCACGGUGGGAACGUGGCCCCCCCUCGGGGGGGUGUUAUAGCCCGCCGUUACGAUACCCUGGCGGGGACCGAGGUUCGCGCAUCUGCAAGGAUGCUGGCGUAAUGGUUAUCAGUGACCCGUCUUGAAACACGGACCAAGGAGUCGUCCUUUAGAGCGAGCGUCUGGGUGUCAAAACCCGCACGCGUAAUGAAAGUGAAAUUAGGUGAGAGCCCUCGCGGGCGCAUCAUCGACCGAUCCUGAUGUUCUCGGACGGAUUUGAGUAAGAGUUUUAACGGACGGACCCGAAAGACAGUGAACUAUGCUUGGAUAGGGUGAAGCCAGAGGAAACUCUGGUGGAGGCUCGCAGCGGUUCUGACGUGCAAAUCGAUCGUCAAAUCUGAGCAUGGGGGCGAAAGACUAAUCGAAC
Molecule: ribosomal RNA, 929 nt
Filed under: Melanconiella echinata
Lineage: Eukaryota; Fungi; Ascomycota; Sordariomycetes; Diaporthales; Melanconiellaceae
Description: eukaryotic LSU rRNA
Rfam family: Eukaryotic large subunit ribosomal RNA
Source: RNAcentral